UGCACAUUUCAUAUAAACGGAAACAUACAACAUGUGGCCCUUUGUGACUAGCUUCUUCCACUUAGAUUGUCUUCCAGGUUCAUCCAUGUUGUAGCCCUUCAGAUCAGAGCGUCGUUCUGGUCACAGUAGGCAGAAUAAAGAGGCAGAAGGAAGAAUGAGAAAGAGAAUCCUGAGGGUCCGAGCACAGCAGCACAAUGAAAUGAAGUGCUACCUCUAAUAGCAAAGGAAGAAAAAGACCUACAUGUCCAGGGGAGGGGGCUGGAUAAAGUGUGACACAUCGAUGCGGUGGCUGCAGCUGUAAAACAGCCUGUCGGGAAGUCAGGUGCAUCCAGUGAAGAAAAGCCAUGUGCAGUGUCGAUCACCCUAAUGAAGUUGCUAUCACCAUUCACACAGUCGUCCCAGGUAGUCCUGGGACCCGAGAAAUAGCCCACCUCUCCAUUCCCAUCACCCGACUCGUUCCAGCUGCCACUGUCUGGGGGACAACAGAAGAGCAACCUGAUCUUUGUUAAUCUGGUUAAGAAGGUGAG
Vicugna pacos (alpaca) is the source of this 527-nucleotide non-coding RNA. The record is from RefSeq and is a predicted model, not a curated record. NCBI's taxonomy places the organism in Eukaryota, Metazoa, Chordata, Mammalia, Artiodactyla, Camelidae.